CUCGUCUGCUGGGCUUCCUUACGUGCUGUAGCUAUAACUCGGCUGUGGUCUCACUGCCUACACCUAUUUUAAAUUUUCAGGAUGCAUUUUCUUCAGGCAGAGAUGCUAGCUCAGUCCAGGGCGUUUGCAGUGUUGAGUGCUGCGUUUAUUUGGUUUUCCUUCGGGUAAUUUGUGCAAUCUAAUGCUCCCCUUGCUUAAUUUCGCUGUGUAAAUCCACUCCUGCAAAGCACUUUUGCGUAAUUCCCAGGUGGUCUUCUUUGCUGGAGUCUUUCUUUGUACCUAAGUCCCCAUUUUCACCUGCUGGGCACCUCCUCAAGGCCAGCAGACAAAUCUGCCAUCUUCAGCAGCCCGGGAGGCUGAGUCCACCCGGACUCCAGGCCUUACUCCCUAGAUGGGUAGAGUGCUUUCCACCGGGACUCCCCGCCUUCCCCCUGCUGCUUCUACACAAGCAGACCGACUUCCCUGGAGGCUCAGCUUCCUCACCCCGGACAUCAAGACGAGGACAGCUGUGCACCCCUCUGCCAGGCAUGUGUGAGGACAGG
RNAcentral lists this long non-coding RNA (542 nucleotides) under Heterocephalus glaber (naked mole-rat). Its description in RNAcentral is "lncRNA (ENSHGLG00000038684.1)". Lineage: Eukaryota; Metazoa; Chordata; Mammalia; Rodentia; Bathyergidae. The record is from RNAcentral.